Molecule: non-coding RNA, 37 nt
Filed under: unclassified sequences
Description: S4-Bacteroidia ribosomal protein leader
Rfam family: S4-Bacteroidia ribosomal protein leader
Source: RNAcentral
GAUUGCAUUUUUAACAACCUCUCUGCAAUCGCGGCUG